GUGGGAGAAUGAGUUGGUACCCUCAAUUGCUCGCGGAGCUGAAUUGGGGCAUGGUUUGAAUUUCGCGGACGAAAUUCUUUUAAGGGGUGGAGAAUGUAACAUACCAGAUUUUGGUAUAAAAAAAAUAAAAAAUAAAAAUAGUGUGAGAAACUAUUUUCAUUGGAUUUAGAGAAGUAAACAAUAAGUCAGAAAUGACUUGUGCUGAAAUCGGAAUGAAAACAGAAGAUCUAGAAUUUUUUGUUGGAAACGAGACAGAUAAAUUAGCAGAAAAUGCACAGUCUUAGAAAAUUAUGAAAAUUGGAGGAUAAGUCAGAAAUAUUUUUAUGAGGCUAGAUUUAAAGUUUCAUAUUUUUCUGAUACCCGUAGAGUGAGAAAUAAAAUUCGAGAGUUAUCUGAUAAAGAUUACAGUUCGGCACAGUUUUCGGUGACCAAAUGGGGUCGAAACUGAAAACUUAAGAUAUAUUCUUACUCAGUACGUUAAACCGAGCUUGCCUGUCAAAUUUGAGCCCAAACGGACAUUCAGAAGGGCUCAAACUGUUCCGAACUGCUAAAACUGCCUGGAGUGAAUAGUUGAGGGGUAAAAUGGUAAAAAGGGGCUUAAACCCUUUUCUUCUUCUUCCUCCCAGCCGUGGCAGCCACAAGACACGCACACACACACGCGCAUGGAGGGAGAGAGAGAAACUGUCCUUUCUCUCUCUAAGUCUCUCCCAAAAUGGAUGGAUUUGGUGGAGAUUGAAGCUAGGAGAAGGAUCGUCUUCAUCUUCUUCAUCUUCUCCAUGGUUUGGAGCUAGUUUUGAGGUGAGCUUCUUGAGCCCUUUAAUGGUAUCUCCUUAUAGUUUGGAUUUUAAGCUUUAAGAAUGGAUUUAGAGCUAUUCUAGCAUGCUAAAGAGAAGAUUGUUGUCUAAAUCAUCGAUCAAUUUAGAGAUUUCUUGCCUAGUUGCAACCUAGGGCUCCAAAAUGUAAUUUUUGCUAAUAGAUGGGUUUGAUCUAUUUUGACCCUAUGUAAACCUAAUUGCUAGGUAAACGAAUGCGUUGGCGAAGACGGUUCGGCGAUUCGUCGAGCCGUUGCGAAGUUAUUAAAGAAACGGACGUUUAGGCUUCGUUUCCGCCUGGAGGGCUGAGGCGACAUCGUAAUCCCAUGAAAACGGAUUUGAAGCAUCGUGGCACAUAACCGAAGACUUUUAAUUUCCGGAUCGUGAAUUGGAGGCCGUUCGGAUGGUCGCGCGAGAGAUCGGGCCAAACCGGGUGCCGGGUGCCGGGUGCCGUGGGAGGCCGAGUGCAAGUGUCGACAAGCAAUCGGAAUGCGAAAUGAGGUGGGUUGUGCUCACCGAAGCGACUAGGUUGCCUAUAUGUAUAAGUGUAAUGGUUUUCCUAUUUGAUGCAUAUAGUCGAUGUUACUUACUGUUGAGAUAACAUGCAUAAUGACAUAUAUUGUGUUAAUUGCUAGAUGAAUGCAUGAGUUAAUUGUUACGUGAAUGCAUGAAAAUAAUGUUAUAGUAAUAUGUUAGAGAUAAUAUGCAUGUUGAUAAAUUAUGGAACAUGUUGGAUGGCAUAUGAAUGGUUGGCAUAUAUAUGUAGACAUAUUGUGGAAUAUGAUGAAUGAGUGCAUGUUGAUUUAUUGUAGAAUAUACUAGAUGAAUGUAUAUUGACAUAUUGUGGAUUAUGUUAAAUGACACAUGCAUGUUGAACUUGGGUCGAUAAACUCUAGGUGAAUUAGAGAACUCGACAUUGGAAAACAAUGACAUAUGAACUAUGAUAUGUGACGUGGACAAUCUAUAUAUAUUAGAUCGAGUGGCAUAUGAUUAGUAUAGUGGAAACACUUAUGGCAUGUUGAACACUUAGAAAACAAGUGUGGCAUGAGUCCAAGAAUAUAGUAGUGUAUAUGACACAAGUGAUAGUAAAGAAUGCAAAGAAAAGAAUGAUGGAAAUAUUAUGACAUUUCAACCCUAGAGUUAGGGUCAUUUGAGCAUAGUCUUCCUAAAGUUAAGGAAUGGAUUGAACUUGACAUCCUCAAGAUUUUGGAUUUGAUCAUUGAUCAUACUCACCUUUAGUCCUUGCUCGAGGUUGUGGUAGCUCCCCCUCGGGCGAUGUGCUCCGGAGUCGACAUCACUGGGUUGUAGCGGUUAUCUCCCCAGAGGACGGUCCCACCGGGUUGUAGCGGGUAUCUCCCCGGUUAAUGGGAUUUUGGGUUGGUGAGUUUGUUGAGGGCGA
Molecule: long non-coding RNA, 2211 nt
Filed under: Ananas comosus (pineapple)
Lineage: Eukaryota; Viridiplantae; Streptophyta; Magnoliopsida; Poales; Bromeliaceae
Description: long non-coding RNA (ACOM_LNC023345)
Source: RNAcentral